CAGUCGCCGCGGUAAUACGGAGGGUGCAAGCGUUAAUCGGAAUUACUGGGCGUAAAGCGUGCGUAGGCGGUUCGUUAAGUCUGUUGUGAAAGCCCCGGGCUCAACCUGGGAAUGGCAAUGGAUACUGGCGAGCUAGAGUGUGUCAGAGGAUGGUGGAAUUCCCGGUGUAGCGGUGAAAUGCGUAGAGAUCGGGAGGAACAUCAGUGGCGAAGGCGGCCAUCUGGGACAACACUGAUGCUGAGGCACGGAAGCGUGGGGAGCAAACAGGAUUAGAUACCCCUGUAGUCCCUGUCUCUUAUAC
Molecule: ribosomal RNA, 301 nt
Filed under: uncultured bacterium
Lineage: Bacteria
Description: partial 16S ribosomal RNA
Rfam family: Bacterial small subunit ribosomal RNA
Source: RNAcentral